AAUUAUAUAGUCAAUUAUGAUUAUAAGCUGCAAACUUAUAGGUAAUUUAUAUUAAAUUUAUAAUUU
This 66-nucleotide transfer RNA is filed under the name Trypodendron signatum. RNAcentral describes it as "tRNA-Cys". The record is from RNAcentral. Lineage: Eukaryota; Metazoa; Arthropoda; Insecta; Coleoptera; Curculionidae.